CCUACGGGAGGCAGCAGUAGGGAAUUUUGCGCAAUGGGGGAAACCCUGACGCAGCAAAGCCGCGUGAUUGAUGAAGCCCUUCGGGGUGUACAGCUCUGUCAGUGGGGACGAAACUUGCCGGUACCCACAGAGGAAGCAUCGGCUAACUCCGUGCCAGCAGCCGCGGUAAUACGGGGGAUGCCAGCGUUGUCCGGAAUCAUUGGGCGUAAAGAGUUCGUAGGUGGCACGUUAAGUCUGGUGUUAAAUGCAGAGGCUCAACCUCUGUUUGGCAGUGGAUACUGGCGAGCUUGAAUGCGGGAGAGGUAGAGGGAAUGCCUGGUGUAGCGGUGAAAUGCGUAGAUAUUAGGAGGAACACCAGUGGCGAAGGCGGCUUACUGGACUGUAACUGACGUUGAGGCUCGAAAGCGUGGGGAGCAAACAGGAUUAGAUACCCGUGUAGUC
This 441-nucleotide ribosomal RNA is filed under the name uncultured bacterium. Its description in RNAcentral is "partial 16S ribosomal RNA". It matches the Rfam family "Bacterial small subunit ribosomal RNA", at positions 338 to 795 of the family's 1533-position model. The record is from RNAcentral.